This 30-nucleotide non-coding RNA is filed under the name Mus musculus (house mouse). Lineage: Eukaryota; Metazoa; Chordata; Mammalia; Rodentia; Muridae. The record is from RNAcentral.
UAGUUUCCUUCCUGCCUUGUGCCCAAACCA